GUGAGGAAUUUUCCGCAAUGGGCGAAAGCCUGACGGAGCAAUGCCGCUUGAAGGAUGAAGGCCUAUGGGUUGUAAACUUCUUUUCUCAGAAAAGAAUUAUGACGGUAUCUGAGGAAUAAGCAUCGGCUAACUCUGUGCCAGCAGCCGCGGUAAGACAGAGGAUGCAAGCGUUAUCCGGAAUGAUUGGGCGUAAAGCGUCUGUAGGUUGUUUAAAAAGUAUUCUGUCAAAGAUUAGGGCUUAACCCUAGAUAGGCAGAAUAAACUUUUAAGCUAGAGUUUGGUAGAGGCAGAGGGAAUUCCCGGUGGAGCGGUGAAAUGCGUAGAUAUCGGGAGGAACACCAAAGGCGAAGGCACUCUGCUGGGCCAAUACUAACACUGAGAGACGAAAGCGAGGGGAGCAAAUGGGAUUAGAAACCCGUGUAGUCC
RNAcentral lists this ribosomal RNA (426 nucleotides) under uncultured bacterium. RNAcentral's name for it is "partial 16S ribosomal RNA". It matches the Rfam family "Bacterial small subunit ribosomal RNA", at positions 354 to 796 of the family's 1533-position model. The record is from RNAcentral.